Molecule: long non-coding RNA, 368 nt
Organism: Manacus vitellinus (golden-collared manakin)
Lineage: Eukaryota; Metazoa; Chordata; Aves; Passeriformes; Pipridae
Exons: 3
Source: RefSeq, a predicted model, not a curated record
GAGAAGGAAGAGGCUCCUUGCACAGGUACAAACAUGUGCCUGCAGACGGAACUGCUCCCAGUGGUAAAAUGCAGUUUGGCCGGAGGAAGAACUGCAAGCCAAGGGCCAGCUGACAAUGGGAACCCGGCUCUUCCUGGCACCUGGGACUGUGUUCUGUUGGAAGCAGCAGUCCGGGGAGCUGCUGACUUGUAGCAGCAACUGUGGAUGAAGGAUCCUUAAUCGGGAGCUUUGGUUCGUAUUCCCAUUUCCAACACAGCCUCCAGAGACCACGGGUGUGUGCAUAACUUGGGAAGAGGAAAGGCUCCACAGGUGAGAUGGAGAAGCUGCACAGCCAAAUCACUGAAACCCAAAGAAUUAAUCAGGUGAAG